CGGACCUUGCGCUAUUGGAUGAGCCUAUGUCGGAUUAGUUAGUUGGUGGGGUAAAGGCCUACCAAGGCGACGAUCCGUAGCUGGUCUUAGAGGAUGAUCAGCCACAUCGGGACUGAGACACGGCCCGAACUCCUACGGGAGGCAGCAGUGGGGAAUAUUGCACAAUGGGCGCAAGCCUGAUGCAGCUAUGCCGCGUGUGUGAAGAAGGCCUUAGGGUUGUAAAGCACUUUCAGUAGUGAGGAAAAGUGUUGUGUUUAAUAGCGCAAUGCUGUGACGUUAGCUACAGAAGAAGGACCGGCAAACUCCGUG
RNAcentral lists this ribosomal RNA (309 nucleotides) under uncultured bacterium. Its description in RNAcentral is "bacterial SSU rRNA". It matches the Rfam family "Bacterial small subunit ribosomal RNA", at positions 207 to 507 of the family's 1533-position model. The record is from RNAcentral.